Molecule: long non-coding RNA, 220 nt
Filed under: Setaria italica (foxtail millet)
Lineage: Eukaryota; Viridiplantae; Streptophyta; Magnoliopsida; Poales; Poaceae
Description: long non-coding RNA (SITA_LNC004632)
Source: RNAcentral
UUCCAUUCAACCUUCAAAAAUUGGUACACAAUAGUUAUUUCAUAGGUCAUUAUAUUGAAUAUAACUUAAAAAAUUGUGGUGAACAAAUUAACUAGUGCUGCGUGACAACAUCCAACUCGUUUGUGUAGGCCCUGUAGCGCCUAUCCGGAUUGCCAUGAACGGGCUACACAUGCUUCCACACAUAAUAGAAUGUGGGAUGAGCAUCAUUUCGAUGCCAUUG